GAGAAGGAUCUCCACAGAACAGCAGAAGUGGAACAACAAGAAACAAGAUAACAGAGAUGUUCUUGGCUAAGCGUGCGGGGGUUCCUGUUACUGUGAAGAGAUUCCAUGAUCAAGCUUGUCCAGCGUGCAAGGACGCACAGCCGAUGCACAGCCGCGGUGCCUACCUACACAAGACUAAGCUUGGAGUCAGGCUCCAGAACCUUCCUCCCCUAAGUGCUCCUGCAGCACCUCCACCCACAGUCAGCAACAUGCCAGCGGCGUCCUGAACUGCAUACUUAAUGAUGAUGACACUGUUUAGUGACAUCACAGGUUCAAAGGUGGGGCUCAAAGAUGGUAGUAUUGGGGACAAUGUCCUAAACAGGAGGGCUCUAGCUGUGUAAACGGAAGGACUGUUGUUUGAUAAUAGAAGCCUCAAUCCAGCA
Mus musculus (house mouse) is the source of this 422-nucleotide long non-coding RNA. RefSeq annotates it as predicted gene, 39682. The transcript has 3 exons. NCBI's taxonomy places the organism in Eukaryota, Metazoa, Chordata, Mammalia, Rodentia, Muridae. The record is from RefSeq and is a predicted model, not a curated record.